RNAcentral lists this ribosomal RNA (253 nucleotides) under uncultured prokaryote. RNAcentral's name for it is "partial 16S ribosomal RNA". It matches the Rfam family "Bacterial small subunit ribosomal RNA", at positions 525 to 777 of the family's 1533-position model. The record is from RNAcentral.
ACGUAGGGUCCGAGCGUUGUCCGGAAUUAUUGGGCGUAAAGAGCUCGUAGGCGGUAUGUCGCGUCUGCUGUGAAAGACCGGGGCUUAACUUCGGUUUUGCAGUGGAUACGGGCAUGCUUGAGGUAGGUAGGGGAGACUGGAAUUCCAGGUGUAGCGGUGAAAUGCGUAGAUAUCUGGAGGAACACCGGUGGCGAAGGCGGCGUUCUGGACUGCAACUGACACUGAGAAACGAAAGCCAGGGUAGCAAACGGGA